RNAcentral lists this long non-coding RNA (923 nucleotides) under Homo sapiens (human). Its description in RNAcentral is "HSALNT0371768". Lineage: Eukaryota; Metazoa; Chordata; Mammalia; Primates; Hominidae. The record is from RNAcentral.
AGGGACCUGAUGAAUGCCCACACAUCUUAUCGUCCUCCCAACCCUUCCCCACUCUACAUUCCAGCUUCUGACUUCACUCCCCUGCAUUCUCCUACUGGGGCCCCCUACAUCCACUCUACCACCCCCUACUGUCUUCUCCACACAGCCAACUUGCAAAACGGAAAUCUAUGUCCCUCCCCUGCCAAAGCCCCUCUGCCUUCCAGCCUCCGAGUGAAGGUUACCAUGCCACUCGUGACCUGGUUCCGCUAAGCCCUCAAGGUUCAUCUCUUGCCACCACCCUCCAUUUCCACGCUUUAUGAUGAACUACUCCUUCCAAGAUCUCAAACGGAGUCUUUGGCCUCUCUCGGCCAGACCUCACACUCGCUAUCCCCCAAUGAGGCUGGUCUAUACUCCUUGUCCCGACAUGGCUGGCUCUAUUGUCUUUCAGGCAGAUGUCACUUCGCCCAGGAAGCCCUCCCUCUAAGACCUUUCAUCUGUGUUCUCAUGUCAUCUUUCCUCCCUACUGGCACUCUUGAGCACCACACAGAUUCCUAAUUUCCUAACUACCUAUUGGUGGUCCUCACAGAACUAGAACCACGUGGAGAUUGGCGGUUGUAUGUAUCUUAUUUACCAGCUGGUUCUGUGCAGGUGCGAGGACCCAGCUUUGUUUUUUUACCAGCUGAAUCACCUUGAACACUCAUUGGACCUCACUAAACCUCAAUUGACUCAGCUGUGAAAAACCUUCAGGCCUGGCUUGGGGUACCUUCCUGUACAGCUCAUGGGAAAGGAGAGGAGGGAUGAGCAGAUUCCCUGGGUCCUGCCGGCUUUACUGACUUUGGUUAUUAAGAAGAUAAUAUUCUGGGUCUCCCCGGAUGGACACACAUUAAAGCCACCCUGUUUGGGAAUAGACACCGAUUAAGUUCAGCUUAGAAUUACUCCCAUAA